Long non-coding RNA from Bos taurus (domestic cattle), 501 nucleotides. NCBI's taxonomy places the organism in Eukaryota, Metazoa, Chordata, Mammalia, Artiodactyla, Bovidae. The record is from Ensembl.
AGAUGAGAAGGGGCCGCCGUCAGUAACGGAGGCUCUUUACUUCGUGUGCUCAUUGAGCCCCCUAAUCUUGUUUUCAAAAGUCAGGCUGAAUUUGGCUGGUUCAGGUACCAUUUUUUUUAACAAAAAGACUCUUACUUCAUGACAUCAGGGAUCUUCCUGAAGUAGGGAUUGAACUCCCAUCUCCUCGUCCCCUGCAUUACAGGCAGAUUCUUUACCACUGAGCCACCUGGGAAGACCAGGGCUGUGGGCUCUGUGUGAAGGCCGUUCUCUAGCUGCCCUGUGUGGCUCCUCUUGUUGUGGAGCAGAGGACCUCGGUGUGCAGGUUUCAGCAGUUGCGGUGCACAGGCGGAGUUGUCCCACUUUACAUGGAUUCUUCCUGGACCAGAGAUUGAACCCAUGUCCCCUGCAGAUCGAACCCACGUCCCCUGGAUUGGCAGGCAGAUUCUUAAGCACUGGACCACCAGGGAAGUCCUCACAAACAUUUAAGCUACGGAAUAUCAC